RNAcentral lists this ribosomal RNA (865 nucleotides) under uncultured bacterium. RNAcentral describes it as "bacterial SSU rRNA". It matches the Rfam family "Bacterial small subunit ribosomal RNA", at positions 9 to 915 of the family's 1533-position model. The record is from RNAcentral.
GAGUUUGAUCCUGGCUCAGAACGAACGCUGGUGGCAUGCCUAACACAUGCAAGUCGAACGAGAAGCAUCUUCGGAUGUGGAAAGUGGCGCACGGGUGAGUAAUACAUAGAAAUCUACCUCGCACUGGGGGAUAACUAUUGGAAACAGUAGCUAAUACCGCAUACGCCAUAUUGGGAAAACUACGGUGGUGUGAGAUGAGUCUAUGCUUGAUUAGCUAGUUGGUGGGGUAAAAGCUCACCAAGGCGACGAUCAAUAGCGGGUUUGAGAGGAUGAUCCGCCACACUGGAACUGAGACACGGUCCAGACUCCUACGGGAGGCAGCAGUGGGGAAUAUUGCGCAAUGGGCGAAAGCCUGACGCAGCAAUGCCACGUGAGUGAUGAAGGUCUUAGGAUUGUAAAGCUCUUUUAGUAGGGAAGAAAAUGACGGUACCUACAGAAAAAGUCCCGGCUAACUCCGUGCCAGCAGCCGCGGUAAUACGGAGGGGGCGAGCGUUGUUCGGAUUUACUGGGCGUAAAGGGUCCGUAGGUGGAUAAGUUAGUCAGAUGUGAAAGCCCCGCGCUUAACGUGGGAAUUGCAUUUGAAACUGCUUGUCUAGAGUAUUGGAGAGGAUAGUGGAAUUACCAGUGUAGAGGUGAAAUUCGUAGAUAUUGGUAGGAACAUCGGUGGCGAAGGCGACUGUCUGGACAAUUACUGACACUGAGGGACGAAAGCGUGGGGAGCAAACAGGAUUAGAUACCCUGGUAGUCCACGCCGUAAACGAUGAGAGCUAGCUGACGGGGCCUUAAGCUUCGGUGGCGCAGCUAACGCAUUAAGCUCUCCGCCUGGGGAGUACGGUCGCAAGAUUAAAACUCAAAGGAAUUGACG